Non-coding RNA from Arabis alpina (gray rockcress), 87 nucleotides. NCBI's taxonomy places the organism in Eukaryota, Viridiplantae, Streptophyta, Magnoliopsida, Brassicales, Brassicaceae. The record is from Rfam.
UGCACUCUGUGAUGCAAAUUAUGUCCUUGUCAAUGAUUUAACAGUGAUUAUUAACUAAUAGAUCACCAUCUUUCGACUGAGAUUGCA